RNAcentral lists this ribosomal RNA (848 nucleotides) under Ingerana tenasserimensis. RNAcentral's name for it is "partial 16S ribosomal RNA". The stretch from base 164 to 636 matches the Rfam family "Bacterial large subunit ribosomal RNA", at positions 573 to 1301 of the family's 2925-position model. The record is from RNAcentral. Lineage: Eukaryota; Metazoa; Chordata; Amphibia; Anura; Dicroglossidae.
CUAAAAAUCUAGCCUAUCAACUUCUUAUACCUAUUUUACUAAUAAAUUUAAGCAAAACAUUCUCAACUUCUAGUAAAGGCGAUAGAAAAAAUUCUUAGAGCUUUAACUUAAGUACCGCAAGGGAAUGAUGAAAUAUUAUGAAAAAUUUAAGCAUAAAAAAGUAAAGGUUAACUCUUGUACCUUUUGCAUCAUGGUCUAGCAAGUCUUUAUCAAGCAAAGAGACUCUCUAGUUUGACCCCCCGAAACUAGGCGAGCUACUUCAAAACAGCCUUUUGGGCUAACCCGUCUCUGUAGCAAAAGAGUGGGAAGAUUUUUAAGUAGAAGCGAAAAACCUAUCGAGCCUAGAGAUAGCUGGUUAUUUAGGAAAAGAAUUUUAGUUCUGCCUUAAGCUUUUUUAUUACUAAUAACAAAUCUUUAAGCUUAAGAUUUAUUCCAACAGGGCACAGCCUAUUGGAAAAAGGAUACAGCCUAAAAAUAUGGGUAAGUUUUACUAUCUUAAUAAGUGGGCCUAAGAGCAGCCACCUUUUAAAAAGCGUUAAAGCUUAUUACACUUAACACAUUUAAUUCUAAUCAUUAACUCAAACCCUUUAUCAAUACUAAGUGAUUUUAUAUUAUUAUAAGAGACCCCAUGCUAGAACUAGUAACAAGAAAUUGCCUUUCUCCAAAAUGUAAGUUUAAACCAAAAUGGACAACCCACUGGUAGUUAACAGUAUUGAACUUAUUAUAACAACAUCCUUAGAAAAUACUAUUAUACCCCCUGUUAAUCUUACACAAGAACAUUUAUGGAAAAAUUAAAAGAAAAUGAAGGAACUUGGCAAAUUUUAGCUCCGCCUGUUUACCAAAAACAU